Molecule: long non-coding RNA, 475 nt
Organism: Daphnia magna
Lineage: Eukaryota; Metazoa; Arthropoda; Branchiopoda; Diplostraca; Daphniidae
Exons: 2
Source: RefSeq, a predicted model, not a curated record
GUAGCCCCCGAUUGUACUGUACACUGGUACGCAGCAGUUAUAAAAACAUCACUGUGAACAGGGCUCACGUACCAGUCGCAUUCAGUCGUUCUACAAUAUCGGAUACAAAAAAAUGAAGGUCUUCGUCCUUGCUGCUUUAGUGACUGUCGUUUCAUGCCAACCGCCUUAUGUUCAACACAAUCACCUUCAAGAGGGAUACCAAGAGCAGUAUUCUCUUGAAGAUUAUUAUAAACCAGUCUAUCUGUACGAACGGCCGUAUUAUGGUUAUCACGCCCCAGAAAAUCAACCUGCUUCGAUUAAACAAAUUAUUCAUUUUAUCAAGAAAUUUCAUUCACUGCGAAGACCGUAGGCUAUAUUACUGAUCUCCUUUUCUGUUGUUUUUAAAGCUGUUUUAUGUUUGUGCAUAAUAAAGAUUUUGUGUAGCGUGAAUCGAAAAUUUGUUUUGGAAAAAAGUAGACGUGAACGCCAAACAAAA